AAAUUUCAAACUACAUAGAAUUUUCCUAACUUGGUAACCACGUUCGUUUAAAUAUUGACUUAAAACUAACACAAGUUUUCACUGCACUCACCUCCACUAUAAAUUUAGCCCAAACAUCAAACGUACCACAUACUUUCCCAAUUAGUUAUAAGCUAUGAAUAUCAGACAUAUUGCAAUCGUAUGCUGCUCUCUUCCCGUUGUGGGCACUCUUGUUCGCCUCUUCUUCUCCUCUCUGCAAGACACGCUUUCGACUUCUGCAGACAAUGGGAAGUACGAAACCAAGGAUCAAAAUAUUGUUGUUGCUUCUGAUCCAAGCAAUGUAACGGAGGAUCAAAGUGUUUUUCUUGCUUCUGAUCGAAGCAAUGCAACGGCCCAGAUGCAUUUCCGGCAACUUCAACACAUAAGAACAGCUUGAACGAAACGUUGUUGAGUACCUGUCUAAUUAAGACUACGAAUUUUAGGGCCAAUUCCCCUUUUUGUCUUUUACUUGUUCUUUCUUAUAACGCGUGGAUUACAUAUGUUGUUGACUGUCUGUCUAAUUAAGGGUACAAUUUUUAGAGGCCAAUUCUUCUUUUGUCUUUUACUCGUUCUUUCUUGUAAUGCAUGAAUUAGUAACAAUUUCUUACGAAUAAGAAUCGAUCAGGGGUUAUGAAAAGCUAGGAAAAUUUUAUGCAUGGUAUAAAGGGUGGUUUUUAUUUUUAUUUUUUGGUGAUAUCCAAAGUUAAGGCAAAAACGAAAUGAAGAGAAAAAACAUGUGUUGAAGGAAUUUCACUCGCUCGAGUUGGGG
This 787-nucleotide long non-coding RNA is filed under the name Malus domestica (apple). Its description in RNAcentral is "long non-coding RNA (MDOM_LNC019334)". Lineage: Eukaryota; Viridiplantae; Streptophyta; Magnoliopsida; Rosales; Rosaceae. The record is from RNAcentral.